CCUACGGGAGGCAGCAGUGGGGAAUAUUGCACAAUGGAGGGAACUCUGAUGCAGCAACGCCGCGUGAGUGAAGAAGUAUUUCGGUAUGUAAAGCUCUAUCAGCAGGGAAGAAAGAGACGGUACCUGAACAAGACGCUCCGGCUAACUACGUGCCAGCAGCCGCGGUAAUACGUAUGAGGCAAGCGUUAUCCGGAUUUACUGGGUGUAAAGGGAGAGUAGAUGGCACAGCAAGUCUGAAGUGAAAGCCCAAAGCUCAACUAUGGGAAUGCUUUAGAAACUGCGCAGCUAGAGUGCAGGAGAGGCAAGUGGAAGUCUUAGGGUAGCGGUGAAAUGCGUAGAUAUUAGGAGGAACACCAGUGGCGAAGGCGGCUUGCUGGACUGUAACUGACACUGAGGCUCGAAGGCGUGGGGAGCAAACAGGAUUAGAUACCCUUGUAGUC
This 440-nucleotide ribosomal RNA is filed under the name uncultured bacterium. RNAcentral describes it as "partial 16S ribosomal RNA". It matches the Rfam family "Bacterial small subunit ribosomal RNA", at positions 338 to 795 of the family's 1533-position model. The record is from RNAcentral.